CAAGCGGUGGAUGAUGUGGAUUAAUUCGAUGCAACGCGAAGAACCUUACCUACCCUUGACAUGUCUGGAACCUUGCUGAGAGGCGAGGUGCUUCGGGAGCCAGAACACAGGUGCUGCAUGGCUGUCGUCAGCUCGUGUCGUGAGAUGUUGGGUUAAGUCCCGCAACGAGCGCAACCCUUGUCACUAGUUGCCAUCAUUUAGUUGGGCACUCUAGUGAGACUGCCGGUGACAAACCGGAGGAAGGUGGGGAUGACGUCAAGUCCUCAUGGCCCUUAUGGGUAGGGCUUCACACGUCAUACAAUGGUCGGUACAGAGGGUUGCCAAGCCGCGAGGUGGAGCCAAUCCCUUAAAGCCGAUCGUAGUCCGGAUCGCAGUCUGCAACUCGACUGCGUGAAGUCGGAAUCGCUAGUAAUCGUGGAUCAGAAUGUCACGGUGAAUACGUUCCCGGGUCUU
This 453-nucleotide ribosomal RNA is filed under the name uncultured Thauera sp. Its description in RNAcentral is "bacterial SSU rRNA". It matches the Rfam family "Bacterial small subunit ribosomal RNA", at positions 926 to 1382 of the family's 1533-position model. The record is from RNAcentral. Lineage: Bacteria; Pseudomonadati; Pseudomonadota; Betaproteobacteria; Rhodocyclales; Zoogloeaceae.